RNAcentral lists this ribosomal RNA (482 nucleotides) under uncultured bacterium. Its description in RNAcentral is "bacterial SSU rRNA". It matches the Rfam family "Bacterial small subunit ribosomal RNA", at positions 43 to 524 of the family's 1533-position model. The record is from RNAcentral.
CAGGCCUAACACAUGCAAGUCGAACGAAGUUAGGAAGCUUGCUUCUGAUACUUAGUGGCGGACGGGUGAGUAAUGCUUAGGAAUCUGCCUAGUAGUGGGGGAUAACUUGGGGAAACCCAAGCUAAUACCGCAUACGACCUACGGGUGAAAGGGGGCUUUUAGCUCUCGCUAUUAGAUGAGCCUAAGUCGGAUUAGCUGGUUGGUGGGGUAAAGGCCUACCAAGGCGACGAUCUGUAGCUGGUCUGAGAGGAUGAUCAGCCACACUGGGACUGAGACACGGCCCAGACUCCUACGGGAGGCAGCAGUGGGGAAUAUUGGACAAUGGGCGAAAGCCUGAUCCAGCCAUGCCGCGUGUGUGAAGAAGGCCUUUUGGUUGUAAAGCACUUUAAGUGGGGAGGAAAAGCUUAUGGUUAAUACCCAUAAGCCCUGACGUUACCCACAGAAUAAGCACCGGCUAACUCUGUGCCAGCAGCCGCGGUAAU